RNAcentral lists this long non-coding RNA (512 nucleotides) under Lathyrus oleraceus (garden pea). RNAcentral describes it as "Pisum sativum (pea) long non-coding RNA (PSAT_LNC018683)". The record is from RNAcentral. Lineage: Eukaryota; Viridiplantae; Streptophyta; Magnoliopsida; Fabales; Fabaceae.
GAUGAUAGUGAGAGGUAAUGUGUCACGUGAGAAAGUGAGGUGCAUGGAUGUAGGUGAAUUUGUUGUGAGUGGAGAGAGAAACGUCAGAGUGAGAAAGGUGAGAGCCACAUUUAUUUCUUUUUUUUUCUCUUUUUGUCACGUUGGCCACAAAGAGUGAAGGUAGUGAGUGGGUAUUAAAUGAGGAACAGUAAUUCCAAUUAUUUCUUUUUUCCUUUCUUUAUUUGAAUGUUAAGUGAUUUGAGAGAGAGCAAGUGGGAGAAGAAAACGUGUCAACUGAGAGAGAGGAUCGUGAGAGUGUGAGACGCGUGGGUAGUGUGGAGAAACCGUUUCAUUUCUUUUUCAUUUUAUCACGCGUGAGAUUGGAGAAAGAGGGUGAGGUGGCCGCGUGUAAGGUGGAGAAGAGGACAAAGUCUUUUCUUUUUUAUUAAUACUUCUUAUUAUUUAAAGAAAAAUAUUCAUUAAAAAUUCUUAGAAAGUAACUUACUUUAGAAAAUUAUAAUAAUAAAACAAAU